CCUACGGGGGGCUGCAGUGGGGAAUAUUGCACAAUGGGCGCAAGCCUGAUGCAGCCAUGCCGCGUGUGUGAAGAAGGCCUUCGGGCUGUAAAGCACUUUCAGCGGGGAGGAAGGCGGUGAGGUUAAUAACCUCAUCGAUUGACGUUACCCGCAGAAGAAGCACCGGCUAACUCCGUGCCAGCAGCCGCGGUAAUACGGAGGGUGCAAGCGUUAAUCGGAAUUACUGGGCGUAAAGCGCACGCGGGCGGUCUGUCAAGUCGGAUGUGAAAUCCCCGGGCUCAACCUGGGAACUGCAUUCGAAACUGGCAGGCUAGAGUCUUGUAGAGGGGGGUAGAAUUCCAGGUGUAGCGGUGAAAUGCGUAGAGAUCUGGAGGAAUACCGGUGGCGAAGGCGGCCCCCUGGACAAAGACUGACGCUCAGGUGCGAAAGCGUGGGGAGCAAACAGGAUUAGAUACCCUAGUAGUC
This 465-nucleotide ribosomal RNA is filed under the name uncultured Klebsiella sp. RNAcentral's name for it is "bacterial SSU rRNA". It matches the Rfam family "Bacterial small subunit ribosomal RNA", at positions 338 to 795 of the family's 1533-position model. Lineage: Bacteria; Pseudomonadati; Pseudomonadota; Gammaproteobacteria; Enterobacterales; Enterobacteriaceae. The record is from RNAcentral.